AUAUAGUAAUAAUUUAAGAUAUUUUUUACAGGUUCCUCUACUCGAUUAAUUCAGAAACUAACUUUAUCUGUACGACCUAAAAUAAAGUGAAAGGAUCUUUGGAGAAUAAAGACAUCCGGCCACGUUAAACUGGAUUACGAGAACAGUAUUUAAUGUAACAUAUGUUUAUGUUAAGCCAAAAUAUUGGACAUUUAUUAUAUUGCUUAUAUAUUUACUAUAUAUUAAACUGUUUAUUGAUACAUAAGAGUCACCGCAGUUAAAAAGCCGCAAUUUUUAAAUCACAAUGCCUUUCUUAAGUUUAACAUUUAAUACUUAAACUACAUUUUUUGUUUAAAUUUUAAAUUCAAUAAAAAAUGGUGACUUUUGUACAUAUUAUGGUAAACGAUGGAAUGUUAAGUUUUUUGUAUGGUUUUUUUUAUAUAUAAAAAGGGCACAUGAAUUUGUAGAUGCCUACCCUUAAUUGACAAAGGAGGGGACGCACAGAAAGUGGAUUUUUCCUUUAAAUAUAAGUCCCCUACUCGGCAAAAUCCACGUCUCGUUCCAUCUCCUCCUCAAAAGGGAAUAAGGAAUAUGUUUUUUUUCCUGUAAACAUUGCCGUUGAUGCAUUAUAGUAAAUAUUUGCUAUUUAAAUGUUCAAAUUAAAAAUAAUCUCAAUAUACAUAUUAUAUACAUUAUUAUAGAAUUUGUAGAUGGUUUAAAUAUGUGUGGUGUUACAAAAAUGCGUAAAAAGUUCGUACGUUAAAUAGUUGUUGUUUGUAGUCAUUAUAUUAAGGAAACAGUCAUAAGCUUCGAGCUUGGCUUAUUUAAAUUCGCUAUAACAUUUUAAAUUCGCAUUAUUUGAAGCAUUUAGCCUUAAAAAUAAUAUAAAAAUGACUGCCAACAUCUUCAUACAUAAUGCAAAUCAUAAAGUACAUUUAAUGCAUAAUGUUUAGUUCGUGAUUUUUCAUUAUUUUUUCGCUUUUAUUAGGUUUUAAGACGUAAUAUCAUGAUAUUAAGGGAACAUUCCAUAAUCAGUUAUUAAAGAUAUGUUUGACAUAUCUUACUAAUUUCAUUACUAUUUUGCUACAGAAUAAAUUUUAGUUUAAAUAAAAUAGGUGUAGAGAGUUUAGCCUCGAAAUAUGAACAAAAUACUUUCCAAGUAAAAAUGCUGGUUUAAAAAUAUUACAUCUAAUAAGCUAUAGUCACGUUUAUGUUCCUAAGUUAUAUUUAAUUUCACUAUUUAUCCAAACAUUUCUAUGUUAAAUUAUGCAAAAGUUUUGUUCACAGCAUUUAUUUUUGUAUGCCUUUUUCGACGUGUCAAUAAUAUAAAGACAAUACAUAGAACUAUAUAGAAAAGCCGUAGCUUUUGUAUUUGUAUGUAGAAACUAUAAUAAGCUUUGUAUGUGAUUUAUAAUAUAUAACUGAAUUAAAAAAAUCUCCCUUCAAAAAAAUCCGCAUUAUUUUGUAAUGCGUUAAAUGAUUUCCCUUGAUUUGUGUUUAGGAUGUUGUAUAUGGUAACCCCGAACAAACAUUAAUGAAUCAAAGAUUAAAACAUAGAUUAAAAAGACCUAAUUAAUUAGGUCUUUCAUAUCAUCUCCAAUAGUUUGUUCAAAUAAUUGCAAAUGACUAAUAAAACAUUUCAAAUUCUGAUUCAAAUAGUUUAAUCCAUGAAAUACUUGCCUUCAUUUUUUUACGUAUUUAAUAUAAGUUAGACAUAAGAAAUACUUUUUGUUUGUAAUAAAAAUGGUAAACUAAAUCAACAUAGUAUUAAUUCAUAUAAUGGCUGUGUUUUGUUAUUAAUAUUUUUGUAAAACCCAAAGAAUCUGCUCCACUAUUUCAAAAUUUUAAUAACCGAGUGUUGACCCAAUAAACAAUUCUUAUACUAAUUGAAAUAAUAUUCCAAAAUAGCAUUUAUUCAAUGUGGAUUUACCUCGUUUAUUGCUCAUUUUAUUUUACUAUUUUGCUUAGACUUGCGUUUAUGCAUGUAAUAUUGAAUGUGACUUUUGUAAAUGUGUAGAAAUUACGUGUCGUUGUUUCUGUUAUUCGUUCGACGAUGUCUGGCAGACACAAAGUGACAAUAAUAAAUUAUUAAAGCAAAA
Long non-coding RNA from Papilio polytes (common Mormon), 2078 nucleotides. RefSeq lists it as uncharacterized. NCBI's taxonomy places the organism in Eukaryota, Metazoa, Arthropoda, Insecta, Lepidoptera, Papilionidae. The record is from RefSeq and is a predicted model, not a curated record. The transcript has 2 exons.